AGAAAGCGGAAAAGGAUACAUCAAAACUAGCAAUGGAUGAAUGAGAACAUGUCCAGCCUCCAGUUAAGGCAACUGUGGCUUCAAAAAGGAAUCUUAAAUACCAGCACAGAAAUCAGAGGGAUCCUAACCUGGCUCAAAACAGAAGAGAAACAGUGGCUGGCCAUACAGCAGGACGGGCAUAACUAACAGAAUACCAGCUUUCCAGCCAUUGUUUCAUCCCUCAGCGAUACCACCUGCUUCCGCGUGGAACCCAAACCCCCAGGAAACUAAAUCUGCUCAGGUCACCCACCUAGGAAUAAAUAAAAACAGGUUUCAGGCCCUUUGUCCUUUGUAAA
Homo sapiens (human) is the source of this 335-nucleotide long non-coding RNA. RefSeq lists it as uncharacterized. The transcript is spliced from 2 exons. The record is from RefSeq and is a predicted model, not a curated record. NCBI's taxonomy places the organism in Eukaryota, Metazoa, Chordata, Mammalia, Primates, Hominidae.